This 468-nucleotide ribosomal RNA is filed under the name uncultured bacterium. RNAcentral describes it as "partial 16S ribosomal RNA". It matches the Rfam family "Bacterial small subunit ribosomal RNA", at positions 28 to 507 of the family's 1533-position model. The record is from RNAcentral.
GACGAACGCUGGCGGCGUGCUUAACACAUGCAAGUCGAACGGAAAGGCCCUGCUUUUGUGGGGUGCUCGAGUGGCGAACGGGUGAGUAACACGUGAGUAACCUGCCCUUGACUUUGGGAUAACUUCAGGAAACUGGGGCUAAUACCGGAUAGGAGCUCCUGCUGCAUGGUGGGGGUUGGAAAGUUUCGGCGGUUGGGGAUUGACUCGCGGCUUAUCAGCUUGUUGGUGGGGUAGUGGCUUACCAAGGCUUUGACGGGUAGCCGGCAUGAGAGGGUGACCGGCCACAUUGGGACUGCGAUACGGCCCAGACUCCUACGGGAGGCAGCAGUGGGGAAUAUUGCACAAUGGGAGGAAGCCUGAUGCAGCAACGCCGCGUGCGGGAUGACGGCCUUCGGGUUGUAAACCGCUUUCGCCUGUGACGAAGCGUGAGUGACGGUAAUGGGUAAAGAAGCACCGGCUAACUACGUG